GCUCCGCUGCACAUCUCGCUGCAAGCUCCGAUCAACUUCACCGCUGGCAACUUCGAUCAAUUUCAUCGCCGCUCCGCAGCUCCUCUUCCGAGCUCCGCCGAGCAGCUUCUUCCGCCAGCUUCAGCGCCGCCGAGAUCCUCCGCCAAUCUUUGGCGCGCCAUCUGCAGCAGUCCACCGGCCAUCUCCCGCUAGCAAAUCCCAGCGGCAAAAAACUUCGGCGGCAAACUUCAGCGGCAAGGCUUUCUCCGCCAAGCACCACCGCUGACCCAAGCGAUAGCCCCGCUCCGCCGGCCAGGAACUCCACCACUCGAGAGCUCCACUUCCGCUGAUAAGCAACACUCCGAGCUUCCGCUAGCCAACCUCAGCGGCCCCGCCAGUGCGCCGCCGGCUAGAAAGCAUAGAACCUGCAACUAUGGACACCCAUUUGCAGAUCAGUUUGCAUCAGUCCUCCAGCUACUUGCCAUGAGCGGAACCGCCAGCUACCAUCAGCGGCUAACACCCCGCCAAACUCCCCCGCUCCGCCAUACCCGCUGAGCAUGCUCCACUGGGUGCAAGGUUGGUCACCGCUGCGCGCAUACUCGCUGACCACACACGCCGCUGACCAAGAGCCACCGCUGGCUAUCAACGUUAAGAGGCACCGCCAGCGGUUUUAGUUGAGUAUCCUGAAGGUGAUCAGUGCACCAUUCAGCGGUCACUUACCGCCACUGCGUCAUAGUUGCAAACUAUCCGCUGAACGAGAUCUCCUCUCCGCUCCGCUAGGGAACCACCGCCCAACCUCCUUCGCCGGCGAACACCCUCGCUGGCCAAGUGCUCCGCUUUACUCGGCGUCUCCGCCGCACUUGGAUCAUCCGCCGAGCUCUAGACCCGCCUCAGCGUCUCCGGCGGUAGAUCACCGCCGACCUUGCACCGCCAACCUUCCAUCAAGCGGCCUCCGAACUCCAAUCAUGGCUGCCAACCAUCGAACCGGGUCUCCGCUGAGCUCCAAACCUCCGCUGAGUUCCAAACACCACAGGAGGCCACCGCCGGACUUCUUCCCCCGCCGAACUUCUCCCUCCGCCAGCACAACUCCACAGUAGCUAGGCACCGCUGCCAGCUACUCCGCCAGAGCACCCUCAGCGGCAAAACCUCCGCCGAGCAUCUUCACCGCUGAGCAUCUCCGCCCAGGAUUGGCAGCGCGUCGGCACCGCCAAGCUCCAUCGUCGGCAUCGAAAUCUGGACAGGCGGAGCUCCAAAACCCAGCGACCAGCGGAGCUUUAGUCCUCCCAAACCUGCGAUCUCUGGCAGAGUUUCACGUUUCCGAGCGUCCAUUUUCAAUCUUCCCGAUUUGAGCACCCGGUCUCUUCACUGGGUUCAUAUGCAGCAAGGCCACCCAUCGAGAUAAGUCUUCUCG
RNAcentral lists this long non-coding RNA (1390 nucleotides) under Rosa chinensis. RNAcentral's name for it is "sRNA RchiOBHm_Chr5g0029641". The record is from RNAcentral. Lineage: Eukaryota; Viridiplantae; Streptophyta; Magnoliopsida; Rosales; Rosaceae.